GAUGUUGGGUUAAGUCCCGCAACGAGCGCAACCCUUGUCUUUAGUUGCUACGCAAGAGCACUCUAAAGAGACUGCCGGUGACAAACCGGAGGAAGGUGGGGAUGACGUCAAGUCCUCAUGGCCCUUAUGGGUAGGGCUUCACACGUCAUACAAUGGUACGUACAGAGGGUUGCCAACCCGCGAGGGGGAGCUAAUCUCUUAAAACGUAUCGUAGUCCGGAUCGUAGUCUGCAACUCGACUACGCGAAGCUGGAAUCGCUAGUAAUCGCGGAUCAGCAUGCCGCGGUGAAUACGUUCCCGGGUCUUGUACACACCGCCCGUCACACCAUGGGAGUGGGUUUG
RNAcentral lists this ribosomal RNA (341 nucleotides) under uncultured beta proteobacterium. Its description in RNAcentral is "bacterial SSU rRNA". It matches the Rfam family "Bacterial small subunit ribosomal RNA", at positions 1071 to 1418 of the family's 1533-position model. The record is from RNAcentral. Lineage: Bacteria; Pseudomonadati; Pseudomonadota; Betaproteobacteria.